UACAGAGGGGGCAAGCGUUGUUCGGAAUUACUGGGCGUAAAGGGCGCGUAGGCGGCCUUCUAAGUCGAACGUGAAAUCCCCGGGCUCAACCCGGGAACUGCGUCCGAGACUGAAAGGCUUGAAUCCGGGAGAGGGAUGUGGAAUUCCAGGUGUAGCGGUGAAAUGCGUAGAUAUCUGGAGGAACAUCGGUGGCGAAGGCGGUCUGCUGGGCCGUUGCUGACGCUGAGGCGCGACAGCGUGGGGAGCAAACAGG
RNAcentral lists this ribosomal RNA (253 nucleotides) under uncultured bacterium. RNAcentral's name for it is "partial 16S ribosomal RNA". It matches the Rfam family "Bacterial small subunit ribosomal RNA", at positions 524 to 776 of the family's 1533-position model. The record is from RNAcentral.